Penaeus chinensis is the source of this 323-nucleotide long non-coding RNA. RefSeq lists it as uncharacterized. The transcript is spliced from 4 exons. The record is from RefSeq and is a predicted model, not a curated record. Lineage: Eukaryota; Metazoa; Arthropoda; Malacostraca; Decapoda; Penaeidae.
CAGGGUGAGCUGUGCGAAGUGAGGACCCUUGUUAACAAAGUUUUUCAAGGGAAAUUUAAACUCUGAAGUCUCUGGGAUUAACUUCAGAAAACCACCAUACUGAAGUUGGCCCUUUGUAAUCCCCACAUACAGAUGGAGAUGAUCAACCUUGAAAUGCGGAUGUGAUGCAGCAAUGCUCCAUAGCUCUGCACUGUUUUUAAUUGCAGUUGCUGGUCUCCUUGAGUAUGGGACUAUUCCUGUAAUUUCAUGAGAUGUUUCGGCAACAGUGGUAACCUGUUCUGUACUUGUCUACUGUUGGGAAAAAAUAUAUAUAAUUUGAUACA